This is an RNA transcript of Cebus imitator (Panamanian white-faced capuchin), 2327 nucleotides long. It is a transcript of the gene named voltage-dependent anion-selective channel protein 1-like, with no coding region annotated. NCBI's taxonomy places the organism in Eukaryota, Metazoa, Chordata, Mammalia, Primates, Cebidae. The transcript is spliced from 2 exons. The record is from RefSeq and is a predicted model, not a curated record.
AUGGCUGUGCCACCCAAGUGUGCCAAUCUUGGCAACCUGCCAGGAAUGUCUUCACCAAGGGCUAUGGAUAUGGCUUAAUAAAAGUUGAUCUGAAAACAAACUGAGAAUGUAUUUGUAAGCUUAGGCUCAGCCAACACUGAAACCACCAAAGUGACAGGCAGUCUGGAGACCAAGUACAGAUAAACUGAGUAUGGCCUGAUGUUUAUGAAGUGAAACAUACAACACACUAGGACUGAGAUUACUGUGGAAGAGCAGCUUGCAAGUGCACUGAAGCUGACCCUUCAUUCAUCCUUUGUCACCUAAUACUGGGGGGAAAAUGCUAAAAUCAAGACCAGGUACAAGCAGGAGCACAUCAACCUGGGCUGUAACCUGGAUUUUGACAUCACUGGGCCUUCAAUCUGGGGCACCCUGGUGCUGGGUUACAAGGGUUGGCUGGUUACCAGGUAAAUUUUGAGACUGCAAAAUUCUGAAUGACCUAGAGCAACUUUGCAAUUGGCUACAAGUCUGAUGAAUUCAAUUUCACAAUAAUGUGAAUAAUGGGACAGUUUGGUGGCUCCAUUUAACAGAAGGUGAAUAAGAAGGUGGAGACCACUGUCAAUUUCACCGGGACAGCAGGAAGCAGUAACACUGAUUUUGGAAUAUCCAAGUAUCUGAUCAACCCUGACACCUGCUUCUUGGCUAAGUGAACAACUCUAACCCGAUAGGUUUAGAAUACACUGAGACCCUAAAGCCAGGUAUCAAAAUGACACUGUCAACUGUCCUGGAUGGCAAGAAUGACAAUGCCAGUGGCCACACGCUAGGUUUGGAACUGAAAUUUCAAGCAUAAAUACUGUACAAUACUUUUACAUUAUUUUGCAGCAGAGCUACCUUCCGAAUUUGUCUCUUUUACUGUAUGUCUGGGAUGCAAGCAUUGCUAAAUGUUAGAUUUACAGGCUAAAGAUGUUAGAUUUCCAGGCUAAAGAUAAUUCAGCUUUAAAGUGUUACCCUUUCAGAGGUAUAAAAGAAACCCAGUUCCAAAAACGGUCCUUUCAGCUAUACACUUGGAAGGGGAACUUGGUAGCCCUUCUAGAGAUGCCAGGUUUCUUUUUUAUCUAGAAAUGACUGCAUGUGGAAGCUGAUAUGUAGGCAUUUUUUAAAUCAUAUUGAGUGAAUGAAAUUGUGACUUCCUAAGAAUCAAACCUUGGUUUCCUAGCCCUAAUUAACGAGAGGCUCCUUGCUUGAUGGUGUGUGCAAACUCACUUGAAAAGAACUCUUUUAGACAGAUCUUCAUGACCUGUUUCCAACCCAGUUAAUCAACACCUCUUUUAAACCAAAAGGGUGUGGUAAUUGUUUCUUUUGUGCCAUUUUGAGGUGAAGAGGGUGGAUGUGAUGAAGCCAGUAAUCCAGGAAUUAAUUCCUUCUCAUGCUGUGAUUUUCUGCCCCUCCACCAGAGAACGAAAUGACUUCCAGGAGCUCCAGAUAUAAGCUUGGAAGAAACACAUGGUGAUAAUACUGAGAAUCUAAAUUGGACUUCUGUUGUAUUCUCACCACUGAAUUUAUUUUUUAGCAGUUUAAUGUGUAUAUUUUAGAGUCUUCUAUUUUGUGUGAAAUUAGAUCCUCCCUUUCAAAUGCUGUAAUUAACAUAAUUCAAAGUAAAACUUGAAAAACAUGCUGAAAAAAGUGUGAUACACCAAAAGCAUGAGGGAUUAUGGGAGCUGGAGUCCGGGGAAGAGUUCUUUGAGGAAAUAAUAACUAGGAUCUCAAGAAUGAGUGGUAGAUAAAGGGGGAAAGCACUGUAAGCCAGGAAACAGCACAUACAAAGGCCUUGAGAUGAAACAGUACAUGACAAGUUAGAGAAAGUGAAAGAAGGCCAGUGUGGCUAGAGCACAAGACAGAGGGAAACAGUGAAGUGUGACUUGAAUCAAUUCAGCAAACAGUACUGGCAGUCCAGUGUUUGAUAGUUACUGAUAAGGCUGGGAGUAGGCAGAAGCUGGAUCAUGCAGGGCAUUGCAGGUCAUAUUUAGAAUCUCAGUUUUUAUCCUAAGAAUGGAAAGCUAUUGCAAUGGUUAAGCAUUAGUUUGUAUUUUAUGGCUUAUGAGUGAGGAAUAGAUUGAAGGGGUACUAAAGUGGGUAUAGGUAGCAGCAGCAACUGUAGUAAUCCUGGUGGGAGAUCAUGGUGAAGGUGGAGAAAGGUAGUGAGAACCAAGGGAUAUUUAGAAAUGUAAACUGGUAAGAUUUGGCAAUUGAGUGACAGGAGAAAAAGGGAAAUGCCUUCGAGCUUCUGCAACUGGAUGAUGAGUACCAGGUACAGGAUAGUUUAUUAGGAAACAUAUUGAGUUUGGGAUGUU